UACGAAGGGGGCUAGCGUUGUUCGGAUUUACUGGGCGUAAAGCGCACGUAGGCGGAUCGUUAAGUCGGGGGUGAAAUCCUGGAGCUCAACUCCAGAACUGCCUUCGAUACUGGCGAUCUAGAGUCCGGAAGAGGUGAGUGGAACUCCUAGUGUAGAGGUGGAAUUCGUAGAUAUUCGCAAGAACACCAGUGGCGAAGGCGGCUCACUGGCCCGGUACUGACGCUGAGGUGCGAAAGCGUGGGGAGCAAACAGG
Molecule: ribosomal RNA, 253 nt
Filed under: uncultured bacterium
Lineage: Bacteria
Description: partial 16S ribosomal RNA
Rfam family: Bacterial small subunit ribosomal RNA
Source: RNAcentral